AAUCCUUUCAUUUCAAUCUAUUUCAAUCAUAUAAACUCUUUUCACAUUACUUUAAAUAAUCACCGAACUGCGGAUUUUUAUUUAAUAAUGUUUAUAGAAAUAUUAAUAUCCAUGGAUAUCCGCGGUCUAAUAGUAACGUUUUAGUAGAAAGACGGAAAACAAUUUGCAUUAUAGACUAAUUUGAGUUUCUGCAUCUCUGAACGUUAUCGUUCAACCUUGAACGUUAAUAGUAUAAUAAAAAAGAUAAAGAAAUCAUUAUAUAACGAGUUGAUAUCUGCACAAUAAGAAUUGCAUUAUGCACAGAUACAUAUUCGCUAAAUCUUAUUGUGGAUAACUAAAAACCUAUAUACAUAUGAAAGCAUAUGUAUACGUAUACAUACAUGACGAUAUAUCGCGAUGAAAUUAAUACGUCUAAAUCUGUAUAACUUUAUUUCAACGUAAAUGACAAUGUUAACAGACAACGUAAUAUCGCAUCACGAGCAAAUAUAUGAAUGGAAAGUAGAAUAUUAAUAAGAAAAUAAAUAGGUAUAUAUCUCUAAAGAAGCUAUAAACGAUAUCUUAAGCACGGGAAUCAAUAAUCUAUCGAUUAUAUACGCAUCAGUUAAGUAUUAUCAGUUGAGCAUUAAACGAUGAACAUCUACAUACAUAAACAAUUAAACGUUAAAUAUGGAAGAAGUAAUAAAGUAGGUUAGGUAACGACCAUACCGCCUGAAACUAUAUACUAGAAAGGUUAGAUUUUAAUUUAUAAAAAAUACUUCGAGAACUUCCUUCGCAGACUAUCUCGCUAUUAUUUUCAGCCGCUUACAUUUCACGGAAAACGGUUUUUCAAUCAAAGAAAGAUCUUUAAUCGUGAAUCUUCGAAAAUUCAAUUUCUUCAAAUAUCCUGACAGAAGUCUACCGAUCAAUGUAGUUGGUAAAAUUUUGGAAUGACAGCCAACCGGAAAUUCAGCAGAAGACAUACUCACCGAUUGAAAGUGGAGAGUGGUCGUGAUCGUUGGUAAUGGUCGCUCACAGAAUUUCGUUGACAAAAUGCAGUUCUUAUCAUCGAGAGCGAUAGUAAGGAUGACGUAGAAAGUUCAAUCUCAAACAGGCAGUGUGACUAGCAUGAUACCCGGGAGAUUUCGUUUUCACCGAGGAUCUGAAGAGAUAAAAGAGAACUACGGACCACGGGUGGAACCGUCGUUCACUUACGUCACGAGUUACGCACCAAUCGCAAUGGCCUGUAUCAAUGAAAGAAAGAGAGGGAGAUAUUUAUGAGCGACGAUGGUCUUCGUUUAAAUGUUUAAAUAGUAUAAAUUAAAGCAAUUAUUGAUAAAUAUACUUGUCAAUCGAUUGAAAUGUAUUUGUACUAGAUACUUAAUUUGGACUAUAACUUGAAUAGGAAUGAAUUUCAUUAUUUGACGUAUAAUUAAAUGUACAGGCUGUUUCAGUAUUGAUGGUACAGACAAAGUGGGGUUAUUCUUUAUAAAAGAAUAAGAACAAAAUAUAUAGAAUAAAGUACAUAGAAUGAAAUUUUUUUUCAUUUAAGGCUUCGUUUUCGAGAAAUUUAAGAUUGAAUAUUUAUCAAGUAUACUUGAACUUUGUUCAUUUCGAACUGAAUUGAAUCGAAUAAUGGAUGACAAAUUAUUGUACCGGUAAAAGUAUGUAAAAAAUAUAACGUAAAAUUUUGUCAUAGGACGUUCCAUUUUUGAGAAAAUAAAAAUUGAAAAUCAAUCGAGCGUCCGUGUAUCGAGCUAUUUUCUUGAAAACAAGGCCUUAAACGGGAAAAUUUUAUUCAACAUUUUUCACUUAAUUUCGCAUAUAAGAUAACCUUCUGCUGAUUGUUUAGUUCAAUUACCAGUUGGUACUGGUAGUCAAAUUCAUAUAUACCAUUUUUAAAUUUGAUUAAAUUUGAUUUUCUCAAGGAUGGAAAACCUUUACUCGAUAUUCUCGACUUAUUUUUCCAUGUAGAAUCAUCUCCACUUCGUUUGAACCAUCUGGGUAUCAUCAAUACCCUGUAAUACGUUUAAUACGUUUGAGUAUUGUUGAAUUACAAGCAACGUAGUGUUUUUAACACUGUAUUAGUACGUUAUACAAAAGUGAAUUUUAACAAAAAAUUUGGCAACGGUCGUAUCAGAUUUAUUUACCUCCUUUACAUUACAUUCGAAAUUUGAAUUUUAAAGAAUAUUGUGAGUACCGAAGUUAUAUAGUCUUGAAAUAUUGUGAAUCAAUGAUGGUUAAUGAUAAGAAAUAUUGUAAUUAAUGAAUAAUAAACAUUUUUGUAUUUAA
Long non-coding RNA from Bombus terrestris (buff-tailed bumblebee), 2268 nucleotides. RefSeq lists it as uncharacterized. Lineage: Eukaryota; Metazoa; Arthropoda; Insecta; Hymenoptera; Apidae. The transcript is spliced from 2 exons. The record is from RefSeq and is a predicted model, not a curated record.